Molecule: long non-coding RNA, 2786 nt
Organism: Dermochelys coriacea (leatherback sea turtle)
Lineage: Eukaryota; Metazoa; Chordata; Testudines; Dermochelyidae
Exons: 3
Source: RefSeq, a predicted model, not a curated record
AGGAGGAUCAGCCGCCGCCGCCGCCCCCCCCAGGGGGAGUACAGGGAACUCAGCCCAGCGGGCGGGGGGCGCUGUGGGGAGCGUCUCUCGGGGGGGGGGAGGGGCUGGCGGGGCGCCCUCCCGACAGCCACGUUGCAGCGCAGCCCCCCCUCAGAGAGGAUCCCGCCCCCGGAGCAGCCGCGUCUGACCGCAGCCCUCAAGGGAGUAAAAAGAGUGGGGGGGUGGGGGGGAGACAGCUGGAGAUACCAGCGUGCCCACCCCCCUGCGCAGCUGGGAUCCCGGCUCCAGCCUCAUCUCUCCUGCCCAGCCUUAAUGUUUCUGUCGGGAGUGCUGUAGGCGUGCAGGGCCCGGGCUGGCGGAGAGAAGGUGGGCGAGACCAAUGAAGGACUUCAACCUCAUUUUCAGUCAACUAAUUGACAUGCAAGUAAACUGGUACAACAGGAAGACAAAAACCUACUGGAAUUAAUCAAUGAUCUGUUUUUAAAGUGAAAAACAUGACACUUGGUGUAGUAGGAGAAGAUAUAGUAGACAUCUGUCCCUGUGCCUGAAAAACAGAAGUGAGACCAUAGGAGUACAGCCUAAAAAGGUUGGAAUCUGCUGUGUAAGAAAUCCCACAUCUGAAUAUCUUCUAAUUAUCCCUCAUCUUGAACUAAGACUCUCACUACAAUGUCCUAUGGGGUAAUGAAACAAAGGUUGCUAGAAGUAACAGACUAAUCUAUAGAAAUUUCAUUUUGAAGCAUUUUAGGUUUAAGCUAGGAAUUGAAGACAGCAUUAGCCAUGCUAAUGGGACUUAAACACCACUCUUAGGAAACAUGACUUGGUUUAACCAAUAGGCAAAAAUGUAAAUAUCACUAAUGGUUUAGCCUGUGUCAGAUGAAAUGCUUUGGAAUUGUAGAUAAUGCUGCCAUAUAAUUUAAACAGCAAACUAAUUGAAUUUAUUAAUACUAGGGCUGUCAAGCAAUUAAAAAAAUUAAUCACGCUGUUAAACAGUAAUAGAAUACCAUUUACAUAUUUUGACAUUUUCUACAUUUGCAAAUAUACUUAUUUCAAUUAUAACACAAAGUUUAUAGUGCUCACCUUACAUUUUUGAUAAUUACUUCUACUGUAAAAAGACAAAGUAUUCACCGAAUAUUACUGUAGUGCAAUCUCUUUAUAAUGAAACUUACAAAUGCUUGAAUUAUGUACAAAAAAGCUGCAUGCAAAAAAUUUUUUAAAAAAAGUAAAAUUUUAGCGCCUGCAAGUCCACUCAGUUCUACUACUUAUUCAGCCAGUUGCUCAGACAAACAAGUUUGUUUACAUUUAUGGGAGAUAAUGCUGCCCGCUUCUUGUUUACAAUGUCACCUGAAAGUGAGAAAAACAUUGUAGCAGGCAUCACAAGAUAUUUAUAUGCCAGAUGCACUAAAGAUUCAUAUAUCCCUUCCUGCUUCAACCACCAUUCCAGGGGACAUGCAUCCAUUCCGAUGAUGGGUUCUGCUCGAUAACAAUCCAAAGCAGUGCAGACCAACGGAUGUCCAUUUUCAUUAUCUGAGUCAGAUACCACCAGCAGAAGGUUGAUUUUCUUUUUUAGUGGUUCGAGUUCUGUAGUUUUCACAUCGGAGUGUUGUUCUUUUAAGACUUCUGAAAGCAUGUUCCACACCUUGUCCCUCUCAGAUUUUGGAAGCCACUUCAGAUUCUUAAAUCUUGGGACGAGUGCUGUAGUUAUCUUGAGAAAUCUCACAUUGGUACCUUCCUUGCUUUUUUGUCAGCUCUGCAGUGAGAGCCUUCUUAAAAUGACCAACAUGUGCUGGCUAAUCAUCCGAGACUGCUAUGAAAUAUAUGGCAAAAUGUGGGUAAAGCAGAGCAGGAGACAUGCAAUUCUCCCCUAAAGAGUUCAGUCACAAAUUUAAUUAAUGCAUUUUUUUUUUAAAUGAGCGUCAUGAGCAUGGAAGCACAUAUAAUGUUUAGCAUAUCUGGCAUAUAAAUACCUUGCAAUGCCAGCUACAAAAGUGCCAUGCAAAUGCCUGUUCUCACUUUCUGGUGACAUUGUAAAUAAGAAGAGGGCAGCAUUAUCUCCCAUAAAUGUAAACAAACUUGUUUGUCUGAGCAACUAGCUGAAUAAGUAGUAGGACUGAGUGGACUUGCAGGCACUUGUUGCAUAACUGCACUUAAAAACAAAAAAAACCUACAUUUGUAAACUGGACUUUCACAACAAAGAUUGCACUACAAUACUUGUAUGAGGUGAAUUGAAAAAUGCUAAUAAUAUACAUUUUGAUUACAAUUACAACACAGAAUGCAAUAUAUAUGGAAAUGUAAAAAAAUCCAAAAUAUUUAAUAAAUUUCAAUGGGUAUUCUAUUGUUUAAUAGUGAGAUUAAAACUGCAAUUAAUCGUGAUUAAUUUUUUAGUUAAUCACGUGAGUUAACUGCGAUUAAUCAACAGCCCUAAAUAUACUGAGUCUACUGAAUUAGAUUAUAUGUAUAUACAGUGAUCAUUUGGUUAAAUGUGGGGAGGCUGCCAACCCAGGGGUGAGGUGAGGGCAGGGGAGGGAAUACAGGCCCACCCAACUCCACUGCAUCCCAGUCCAGGGCCCUAACAGUGGCAGAGUGGUCCACCACUGGGUCAGUGGGGAUCCACCCACAACACACUGACAUUGUAUGAGGCCAACUCUCAACCAGACUGUCAUCUAGUUUCCUUGGGCUACUUUCUAUAUCCCCCAGGGUUUGGUACCUCUACAGUGUAGUUGCCCUCCAUCUCCCCAGGGUAGGUGGCCAGCAACAGCCCCAGCAGCUCAUUGGUGUCUCGGUCAGCU